This 478-nucleotide long non-coding RNA is filed under the name Micromonas commoda. Its description in RNAcentral is "long non-coding RNA (MCOM_LNC000173)". Lineage: Eukaryota; Viridiplantae; Chlorophyta; Mamiellophyceae; Mamiellales; Mamiellaceae. The record is from RNAcentral.
GAUCUUGGUGUGCGGGGUCACGUCCUUGUCGCAGCGGCGCUGGGUGCAGCCGCCGCCGCCCGUCGAGUUCCUCGGCUCCUCGCAGGUGGGGUCACGGAGCACAUAGGUGGAGUAGUCCUCGUCGAACUUCUCGCCCUCGCACGUCUCGAAGAGGUAGCACUCCUUCUCUUUGACGUCAUAGGCGUAGGUGGUGCAAGUGAAGUCAGUGUGCUUCUUGCACUUGUCCUCACACUGGUCCAGGGUGCAGUCGGUGGUGCCUGGCGUGUCGUCGGUGCAGAUCUUGUUGUGCUUUGAGAUAUCCUUAUCGCACCUGCGCUUCUCGCAGCCUAGAGGGGCCUUGGCGCGGGUCUUUUCGCACGUCGGGUCUUCCAUUGCAUAGGUGGUGUAGUCCGCGUCAAACUUGUCGUUUUUGCAGCCGGCGAAGAUGUAGCAUUCCUUCUCUGCUACGUCGUAGGCCCAGUGCGUGCACUUGUUGCCC